GUUUCGAUGAGCCGGGACGUGGCGCCGCUCUAGCCAGCGCCUGGGCUCUGUGGCGGGCGCCGCAGCUCCGCGUCCCCCGCGCCUCCUCCCAGCGCAGACUUCAAGGGCUACCACUGGACCCUUCCCCUGUCUUGAACCCUGAGCCGGCACCAUGCACGGACGCCUGAAGGUGAAGACGUCAGAAGAGCAGGCGGAGGCCAAAAGGCUAGAGCGAGAGCAGAAGCUGAAGCUAUACCAGUCAGCCACCCAGGCCGUAUUCCAGAAGCGCCAGGCUGGUGAGCUGGAUGAGUCCGUGCUGGAACUGACAAGCCAGAUUCUGGGAGCCAACCCUGAUUUUGCCACCCUCUGGAACUGCCGACGAGAGGUGCUCCAGCAGCUGGAGACUCAGAAGUCUCCUGAAGAGUUGGCUGCUCUGGUGAAGGCAGAACUGGGCUUCCUGGAGAGCUGCCUGCGGGUGAACCCCAAGUCUUAUGGUACCUGGCACCACCGAUGCUGGCUGCUAGGCCGCCUGCCUGAGCCCAACUGGACCCGAGAGCUGGAGCUCUGUGCCCGUUUCCUGGAGGUGGAUGAGCGGAACUCUGCACCCCCAGCCGGAUUCUGGACCACAGGGGCGCCUCCCUGAGGAUGUGCUGCUCAAAGGUUUAUUGAGCACCUACUUCAUGCGUGGCUCCAGGGGUGCUUAAGAAUCAGUCCCUGGCUGAAGGAAGCUUAAGUGUCUGAUGGGGAAGAUAAAACUGACAUACGUAGCCCCUG
RNAcentral lists this unclassified non-coding RNA (753 nucleotides) under Homo sapiens (human). RNAcentral describes it as "Rab geranylgeranyltransferase subunit alpha (ENSG00000285193.1)". The record is from RNAcentral. Lineage: Eukaryota; Metazoa; Chordata; Mammalia; Primates; Hominidae.